Molecule: ribosomal RNA, 253 nt
Filed under: uncultured bacterium
Lineage: Bacteria
Description: partial 16S ribosomal RNA
Rfam family: Bacterial small subunit ribosomal RNA
Source: RNAcentral
UACGAAGGGGGCUAGCGUUGUUCGGAAUCACUGGGCGUAAAAGGCGCGUAGGCGGCCGGUCAAGUCGGGGGUGAAAGCCUGUGGCUCAACCACAGAAUGGCCUUCGAUACUGGACGGCUCGAGACCGGAAGAGGUGAGUGGAACUGCGAGUGUAGAGGUGAAAUUCGUAGAUAUUCGCAAGAACACCAGUGGCGAAGGCGGCUCACUGGUCCGGUUCUGACGCUGAGGCGCGAAAGCGUGGGGAGCAAACAGG